AGAGCGAACGUUAGCGGCAGGCCUAACACAUGCAAGUCGCACGAGAAUUCGGCUUCGGCCGAUAGUAAAGUGGCGGACGGGUGAGUAACACGUGGAUAAUCUGCCCUUCGGCGGGGGACAACAGUCCGAAAGGAUUGCUAAUACCGCGUACGUCUGCGAUGCCCUCGGGUGUUGCAGGGAAAGACGGCCUCUUCAUGAAAGCUGUCACCGAAGGAUGAGUCCGCGGCCCAUCAGCUAGUUGGCGGGGUAAUGGCCCACCAAGGCUUAGACGGGUAGCUGGUCUGAGAGGAUGAUCAGCCGGAUUGGGACUGAGAUACGGCCCAGACUCCUACGGGGGGCAGCAAUUAGGAAUCUUGCACAAUGGGCGAAAGCCUGAUGCAGCGACGUCGCGUGGGGACGAAAUCUUUCGGGAUGUAAACCCUUUUGAGUGGGAAGAAACAAUGACGGUACCACUCGAAUAAGCCCCGGCUAACUACGUGCCAGCAGCCGC
This 490-nucleotide ribosomal RNA is filed under the name uncultured bacterium. RNAcentral describes it as "SSU rRNA". It matches the Rfam family "Bacterial small subunit ribosomal RNA", at positions 26 to 518 of the family's 1533-position model. The record is from RNAcentral.